UAGGGAAUAUUAGUAAUGGGCGAAAGCCUGAACUAGCAACGCCGCGUGUGCGAAGAAGGCCUUCGGGUUGUAAAGCACUUUUUGAGAGGAUGAGGAAGGACGGUACUCUCAGAAUAAGUCUCGGCUAACUACGUGCCAGCAGCCGCGGUAACACGUAGGAGGCGAACGUUAUCCGGAUUUACUGGGCGUAAAGCGCGUGUAGGUGGUUUGGUAAGUAGGGCGUGAAAGCUCCUGGCUCAACUGGGAGAGGCCGUUCUAAACUGCCGGAAUAGAGGAUGGUAGAGGGAGGUGGAAUGCCGGGGGUAGCGGUGGAAUGCGCAGAUAUCCGGAGGAACACCAGUGGCGAAAGCGGC
This 353-nucleotide ribosomal RNA is filed under the name uncultured bacterium. RNAcentral describes it as "bacterial SSU rRNA". It matches the Rfam family "Bacterial small subunit ribosomal RNA", at positions 355 to 725 of the family's 1533-position model. The record is from RNAcentral.